AUGGAUUUUCUAAUUCUCACAUUCCUGUUGCUCAGUGUUACAGGAUCCAGUGGAGAAUUUGUGUUAACCCAGUCUCCAGCUUCCAUGGCUGUUUCCCCAGGAGAGAGAGAGUCACCCUCAACUGCAAGGGCAGCUCAAGUAUAAACACCAGGGACUUAAGCUGGUCCCAACAGAAGCCAGGAGCCAGUCCACAGAUCCUUAUUCAUGGUACAUCCAAGCUGGCCUCUGGGACCCCUGGCUGGUUCAGGGGCAGUGGCUCAGGGACAGAUUACUCUCUGACCAUCAGCAGCAUCCAGGCAGAAGACCCCACAAGCUAUUACUGUCAGGCUUGGUACAGUCCUGAGAUUGUACCACAGUGUUAA
This is a non-coding RNA of Chrysochloris asiatica (Cape golden mole), 362 nucleotides long. The record is from the annotation of a RefSeq genome assembly. NCBI's taxonomy places the organism in Eukaryota, Metazoa, Chordata, Mammalia, Afrosoricida, Chrysochloridae.